AGGCGACGAUCAGUAGGGGUUCUGAGAGGAAGGUCCCCCACAUUGGAACUGAGACACGGUCCAAACUCCUACGGGAGGCAGCAGUGAGGAGUAUUGGUCAAUGGACGAGAGUCUGAACCAGCCAAGUAGCGUGCAGGAUGACGGCCCUAUGGGUUGUAAACUGCUUUUAUAAGGGAAUAAAGUGAGUCUCGUGAGACUUUUUGCAUGUACCUUAUGAAUAAGGACCGGCUAAUUCCGUGCCAGCAGCCGCGGUAAUACGGAAGGUCCGGGCGUUAUCCGGAUUUAUUGGGUUUAAAGGGAGCGUAGGCCGGAGAUUAAGCGUGUUGUGAAAUGUAGACGCUCAACGUCUGCACUGCAGCGCGAACUGGUUUCCUUGAGUACGCACAAAGUGGGCGGAAUUCGUGGUGUAGCGGUGAAAUGCUUAGAUAUCACGAAGAACUCCGAUUGC
This 448-nucleotide ribosomal RNA is filed under the name uncultured bacterium. RNAcentral describes it as "bacterial SSU rRNA". It matches the Rfam family "Bacterial small subunit ribosomal RNA", at positions 271 to 716 of the family's 1533-position model. The record is from RNAcentral.